UCCAUGACCAGAAUGCAGUGGGAGCAUCACUGUGACAGCCAAGGCUAGGUCAUAAAAGAUAGGCUGGAUCUGCCUUUCUUGGGUUGCUUGACCUUGGAGCCCACCCACCAUGUAGAGAGGAACUCAUAAGCCACGCGUAAAUGUUCUAGCUGAAGCUAACUUAGGCCUCAGUCAUGUCAUCAUCAACUACCAGACCUGUGAAAAGCUCAGACAUGAGUUAGUGGGAGAGACAGCCGCUGUGUCCCCAUUCCUGUCUUUCCCAUGACUCCUCUCUGGACAAAGACCUUCACUCAGUUCAAGACCUGCUGACCCCACCAUAGUCCACCAUGGAUACUGAGAUACCUAUGGCUCUGUGGAGGCUCAAGUUGGGUCCACUGCUUUAAACACAUCCCCAGCUAGAGAACCCUUAAGAUCUAUUCUCCUAGCAACUUUAAGCUAUGUAACAGAGGACCGUUGACUACAAUCAAGCUUAGUUUUUCCUCUUUAAAACAAGACGCAUGAUUAUGAUCAGACUUUUGUGGAUCCGAUUUCCCACCACAUCAGACUAUGCCUCUCUGCUCCAGACCCUUCAAAGACUUCUGCGCAGAGCCCAAGAGUUCUAACUUCACAGAAUGGCCUCUGUGGGCUGGCCCUGCCUGCCUGAGUCCAGCCGUCACUCCCUCCUCUCCUAUCAGCUCAGAACUUCUUCUGGCCUCCUUCUCCCCUCCUUGGGGUCAGUUCCCUUAGGGGUCAGAUUGUGGGAGCUUCUCCCUUGAGACCUUCCCCAAAACCAGAGGCUCAAGCAGGUCACGACCAAGGGGAUCCCUAAUAGAUGUCCAGACCUGUCCAAACAGCAGAGCUUUUGUGCCCAAAUCCAUCUCAUGUGGGAUCCUCACUGCACAAAUCAGAGACAAGCAGGGGGCUGCUGUGUGGCCAGGACCCCGUCAACUGAGCCUUCAUCUCUCCCAUUUGUGGUGUGUCCCUUGGAAUGGCAAUGAGCACUGUUUGAAUACCACUGACUCAGUCCAACUCCAUAAUUCUCCAGACUGCUAAUGCCCAGGGUGGGAAAGUGAUUUGCCCAGGGUGUCGGAGCCAGGAGGAAGACUAGAGCUAGGACUUCUGAUCCCCAGACUGGCUCUUCACUAACCAUUAGCUUUUCACCUAUACCAUGCCGCCCCUCUCGUAUUACCACUGAGAUAACUGAGGUUCAAAGGCAUAAGGUGAUGUGUCCUGGGUCACACAGAAAGGCAUGGGUGUGACAGAAAAGCAUGGGUGUAAGCAAAAGUCAGACUCCAAUGCCCAAGUCCUGGCUGAAGGUUUGAAGAAAGAGCUAGUAUCCUAUCGAGCCCUGUUCCCAUGGUGGAAGGCAACCACCAUCUUCUAAAGCUGGUGUUCCUUCAGUCCAUGGACCCCAGCCCCAUCCAUCGCAGUGCAGCAGACAUUUGGCUCUUAUAUCUCUGGUCCUCAUCUUCCCACUUCCCACUCUGUUCCUAGAUUUUCUCUUCUCACUAGUUUGUGCCUCACUUACAACUGGGGAUUGUGGCAAACAAUAAAAGCACUCAAAGAAACUGGGUGCGGAAGCACAGUACUUGUAUCUGGAAAAAUCUCCUAACCCCCCAAGGUCCCUGCAGAGGAAGCACGGGAGAGUGUGAGCACCAGGAAGAGAUUGGAGCUGGGCCCCAGCAAUGGGCAAUCACUGCCAACCUGGUGACACCUGGUGGUGCAAAGAAGAACUGAGUAUGCUGCUGCGGGAUAGCAGAGAACAGAAGUUUAGGAUGUGGGCCCUGUCCGCAGGGAGCUUCUGACCCAGUGUACAAGGUUGGCACACGGGAGGAGCUUUGGAAUGAACACAAAGGAGAGUGUCCCAAGCUGAACGGGAGCGUCUCUGGUGCCCCGGAGUCUCUUCAAAUGACAGAGACGUCACUGCAGGCUAAAGAGAGGAAAAUUUUCCCAGAUGCACCCACCAAACCUCCACCUUGACCAGACUGGAUGUCCCAGCUACCCUGGCUGCAGAGGAGGAGGCCGGGAGAGGAGAUGGGGCCGCCACGGCCAGUGUAGACCAUUCCCCACUUGCCACAUUGCUGCCACCGGUGGAAUUAGGGCCUGAGGAGCCAGGAAAGAGAAGAGAAAUGACUGUUGAGUGAGCAACUCCCGGACUGCCUUGCCCACUACACAUACAUAAGCUCACCUGCCAAGGUGCUCACUACCAAGACUGUGAGCGGCAGCCAUGUGGGCCACUCUCCCUUGACCAGAAUUCAGCACGGGGGCAGCGAUCAUGGCAGAGGCAACACUGUGCCGGGGAAGCCACCAGAUCUGAGCUGCCUGGUUCCGUAUCUGGGCCCAUGUCCGGCUGCCCCCCUGACACAUCAUGGGUCCUGGACAAGUUAGUCAACCUCUCAGCCCCUCAAACUCCCCACCUGAAAACAGGAAUCAUACCGGUCUUCCUGGGACACAAUGGGGUUGCUGGGAGAAUAAGUGCAUUACAUGGGACAAAGCAUUACAUGGGACAUUCCAGGACAGGACAUGGAAUGAGGAUGGAUUUGCUACAUGUUGGCGAUCGCGAGCACGUGUCGAUGCCCUAGCAUGACCUCAGCAUUUUAAAUGCAAUGUGUAUGCUUCUUAACAUAAGCCUGCAAGGCAGAUACUCUUACACCCAUUUUAGAGAUGAGAAAACAGAGUCUCGGGGAAGGGAGGUAAACUAUCAAAAGUCAUGAGGCCAGAGGGCGGCAGAGCCAGGGUUGGAACCUAAGUCCAAAGCCCGGUUCUUUCGAGGAGGUGUGUCCUCUUUUGCUGCCAAAGAACCGGUGGAGUCAGGCCACAGGCGUCAGCCCUGCACAAUUGCCCUCUGGCUUUCUGCAGCCUGCACUUCAAACCGAAAACCAUCAGCUUCCCCAGAAGCCACGUCUGCCUCAGAAGGAGCUUGAAAGCUGGGCCUCUGCAGCCUUGUGACGCGUCACAGCGCCCCAUGGGAGGGGAGGCUCUGUCUUCUCCCCCAUCCUGCUGGUGCUCACGGGGUGUGGAAGCAGAGAUGCUCCACCAGCACCCUCUUUCUCCAAAAGGUCUUUUGUGAACUGUGGAUUUGUGGGUGUCACGUUGGCCUCCUAGGUCUCAGGAUGACGGGCCAGGUGCGCCUGGGUGGAGGUGGGGGCACGUGAGCCCGGCCUACCGCCAGAAAGCAUUUCCAAUGAGCUGCCAGGGAUUCUUUGGUGCUCACAGCACCUCCACAGCACCCACACCACGCACACACACGCACACACAACACAUCCCCGUCACCUCCUCUUCCUGCUGCCCCAAUCCCAAGCCACCGCUGAAGUCCAGCCUGCAGCCCUCCUCUUCCAGCAAACCGCCGGCGCCCAUGCCACACCAGGCCCCUGCCUGUGUCAUCCUCUCCCCCUAUGAGACGGGGGACAGGUCUGACUCCUGGCUCAAACGGGCAAGGCCUGCCUCCCCCAAGCCCGCUCUAGAAAUGCACCCUGGUAAAAUACUACAUUUUUCUCAAGCUAUCUCUGCCUGCAAAGUGAGCACAUGGAGUUGAGAUGUCAGAAACCAGACAAAAGGCUUUACUAUAACUGAUAUGGAUUAAAACGGAAAUGGAAAGCAAGAUCUAAGACACCGAAGCCACCAGUCAGGACUGUCACCAAGCGAGCCAACAACGGCCCCCAAGCCGGGUCACACAACAGUACUUCCAAGGGAGCGGGGAAGACCCAACUACAGCCCCGCUGCCGAUCACCGUCUCCUAGAGCGCCCCCCACCAGGGCCGACCACCCCCACCACGUGAUAACACAUACUCUGCUUCUGAAAAUGAUGCAUCCAACACCUUGAGAAAUUAGUGUGAGGGCCCUGGGAUGUACAACGGGGCACCUGGGGGGCUCAGUAGGUUGGGCACCUGCCUUCCCAGGGUCCUGGGAUUGAGUCCUGUAUCGGGCUCCCUGCUCAGUGGGGAGUCUGCUCCUCCCUCUCCCUCUGCCCCUCCCCCUGCUCAUGUGCUCUAUCUCUCUCAAAUAAAAAAAAUAUUUAAACACACACAUACACACACACACACCAGAUGUGAUCUAAUUGUCUGUUCUGCAAAGAUGACCUUGAUCCCUUCCUCCCUCCAUCCCUAUACAUCAUGUUUCACGUCUUUGCUGCCUGUUGCCAUUGUGUGUUCUAUACCCAUCCUGGCCACCAGCUCCCCUUGCUGUGGACAGGAGCACAUAGCAGGAUACCCGAUGAAUACCCGCAGUGCAGCAGCCUCCGCCAGCCAGGGGAGGCCAGCUCCAUACCAGCAUGCCGAGAAUCCAGAGCUGAGCCCAGGUGCACCCCAACAGGGCCCAGGCCUACCCCCAGGCUUAAGAACAUCACUGAUAAUGCAAUUUCUGGUGCUUUUUUUCAUUUUGCCAGAGAUAAAGAUACCUACGCGAGUCCAUCCAUCCAUCCAUAUAUAUACAUGUUAGCCACGGCAACUAAGAAAGCCAUCCAAAUUGCAGCACUGAAAUGAACAGAGCUGAACAAUAAGCUAAAACAUGCCUAGAGCAAG
Long non-coding RNA from Canis lupus familiaris (dog), 4498 nucleotides. RefSeq lists it as uncharacterized. The record is from RefSeq and is a predicted model, not a curated record. The transcript is spliced from 6 exons. NCBI's taxonomy places the organism in Eukaryota, Metazoa, Chordata, Mammalia, Carnivora, Canidae.